This 2161-nucleotide long non-coding RNA is filed under the name Zosterops lateralis melanops. RNAcentral describes it as "lncRNA (ENSZLMG00000009002.1)". The record is from RNAcentral. Lineage: Eukaryota; Metazoa; Chordata; Aves; Passeriformes; Zosteropidae.
UGCAGGAAGGGCAGCCUGCACCACGGAGAGCCCACAUCCACGGGGCAGUGGCCUGGCUAAGUGCCUCUCUCUCCCUGUGCCCAGGUUCUCCUCUCAGAGACAACCCCCACCGCGCACCUCAGCAGCAAGAUGAACCCCACUGUGGGCAUCGCUGUCAUCCUGACAGUCCUCCAGGCUGCCCACUGCCAGAUGAUCAAGGACCUGAGUGCCUGCCUGCUGGGCCAGAACCUGCGCGUGGACUGUCGCUAUGAGAACAAAACCGACAACCCCCUGACCUACGAGUUCAGCAUCACCAAGGACAACAGRAAGCACGUCAUCCACAGCACCAUCAGCGUCUCCGAGAACAUCUACCGGAGCCGAGCCAACGUCACCAUGCACAAGAACCUGGUGUGCCUCUACCUGCAGAGCUUCACCACCAGCGAUGAGGGCAUCUACAUGUGCGAGCUGAAGGCCACCAACGACUACACUGGCAACCAGAUAAAGAACAUCACUGUUAUCAAAGACAAACUGGAGAAAUGCGCCGGCUUCAGCCUCUUGAUCCAGAACACCUCGUGGCUCCUGCUGCUGCUCCUCUCCCUGCCUCUCCUGCAAGCCGUGGACUUCGUGUCCCUGUGACAGGCCAAACACACACACACACACACACACAGAGCUCUUGCACACACGCACGCACACACUGAGCACCCCGGCCACCCCGCCUUCCUCGCAGCCCCUUGGAAAGAAAAGCUGAAGCGUCUGGAAGCCGUGAAACCUCUCUCUGUGUUAUCUCUAUUUAGCCGUAUAUCUAACGCUAAGCACCGCCCCGUGCCGACGCCCACCAUCCCACGCACACACUGCCCCGCUCCGAAGCAUGGGGGCUCUGCUAGGCAGCGUUGCUUCUUCCCAUGGCGCCUCCCCGCUCCGUAGGCUGGCUGGUUUGCUUGUGCUGGGAGCACUGGAGGCCUCAGCCUCGCUUGUCCCAUCCCUUUAACUCUUGGGGUUUGCCUGUUCUCAACUGGGGAAAGACAGCUGGAUUGGCAGCUGAGUUGGAAGUGAGGCCUCCUCCAGACACCAUCUGGUACCUUUGGGCUGCCCGAGCCAGAGACAGCACUCGCUCUCCCCGGGGACCAGCCCUUAGCUGUGACGAGAGAAUUGCUGCCAGCACCAGUGGAGGCAAGCAGAGCCUCUCUGAGCUAGCCACAGCCCCACUGCCCUCCCCAGGGCCCUCAGAGCUGCACCCAGGCUGGCUGGUGGGGAAGGGGUUCCCCUCUGGGAGUGUGACCCCAGGGUCUCUGCUGGGACUCCUCUGCACCGGCACCUUGUUUUCCCUAAAGGAACAUCUGGGGACCCCAGUCCUUCCUCAUGGAGAGGCAGAGCAGUCUUCCUCAAAUCCUGCUGUGCUCCUGGAAGGAGCCCGUGUGCCCCUUCCCUCCCCUCUCCUCCCUCUCAGCAUUUCCCUGUCUCCCUUUAAGAGCAGCAAAGGAUCUAAGGGCAGCCCAGCACCUCGGUAAGGCCAGGAUGGUGCCAGGGGUUGGUGAGAGCAGGGACAGGGAUGGCCAGCACAGCUCAGAUCUGCCAGCCCAGGGGACCCCGAGGAGCCUCACCCGGGGGGGAGGGCACAGGGAAAAGAAGAGGCAAGGCAGGAGCAUCCAGGUGCAUGGGGUGAACCCCAGCUGUGCUACCCGUGCAGCCCGGGCUGUGCCACCACGGCUGAGAGCAAUACACAGCAGCUGCUCCCCACUCCUUGCUCUUCUCCAGAGCUGCUUCCUCUCCUCCCCGUGCCCGUCCCCUGCCCAUCCCUGCCUGCUUGCUUGCUGUCUAGUGCUGCUGAGGCCGUGCCCAGCUGAGGCCUGGCUGUGCCCAGCUCCCUGGGCGUGCUGGUGAGCGCCGGGGYGGGCGCAGAGCCCAGCGGCAGAGCGCGGACGCGGCUCGAGUCUCAUUUUUUGGUGAACAUUUGUAGUUGUUUCCACAGCUUGUCGUCAAAGAAAUUCUGUUAAGGGAAAAGGGAAAAAAAAAAAAAAAAAAACCCAAUUAAAAAAAAAAAAACACGGGGGAAAAUAAAAGAACCCUAUGAAAAGCAACAACAACGACAACAGGGAAAAAAAAAUAACCUUAUCAUCCAGGAGUGUUCCUCUGUCUGCACAAUAAAACCCUACCUAGGUUGUGUGUUGGAGCCGUGGGUGCC